RNAcentral lists this ribosomal RNA (327 nucleotides) under uncultured eukaryote. RNAcentral's name for it is "partial 18S ribosomal RNA". It matches the Rfam family "Eukaryotic small subunit ribosomal RNA", at positions 1470 to 1796 of the family's 1831-position model. The record is from RNAcentral.
UCCUUAGAUGUUCUGGGCCGCACACGCGCUACACUGAAGGAGGCAGCGUGUACUCCUGGAUCGAAAGAUUUGGGUAACCCGCGAAUCUCCUUCGUGCUAGGGAUUGAGGUUUGCAAUUAUCCUUCAUGAACGAGGAAUUCCCAGUAAGUGCAAGUCAUAAGCUUGCGCUGACUACGUCCCUGCCCUUUGUACACACCGCCCGUCGCUACUACCGAUUGAAUGAUUUAGUGAGGACUUCGGACUGGGACCGAUGCGGCUUUCGGGCUGCGUCGGUAUUCUGGAAAGAUGUCCAAACUGUAUCAUUUAGAGGAAGUAAAANUCGUAACA